This 25-nucleotide transfer RNA is filed under the name Eucheuma sp. B5. Its description in RNAcentral is "partial tRNA-His". The record is from RNAcentral. Lineage: Eukaryota; Rhodophyta; Florideophyceae; Gigartinales; Solieriaceae.
GGAUUGUGAAUCCACCCAUGCGCGA